GCCGACGUAGCUCAGUUGGUAGAGCAUCGGUUUCGUAAACCGAGGGUCACCAGUUCAACUCUGGUCGUCGGCUCCA
Molecule: transfer RNA, 76 nt
Filed under: Acidobacteriota bacterium
Lineage: Bacteria; Pseudomonadati; Acidobacteriota
Description: tRNA-Thr
Rfam family: tRNA
About the family: Transfer RNA (tRNA) molecules are approximately 80 nucleotides in length.
Source: RNAcentral